GUCUACGGCCAUACCACGUUGAAAGCACCAGUUCUCGUCCGAUCACUGAAGUUAAGCAACGUCGGGCUCGGUUAGUACUUGGAUGGCUGACCGCCUGGGAACACCGAGUGCUGUAGACUCCU
RNAcentral lists this ribosomal RNA (122 nucleotides) under Lottia gigantea (owl limpet). The record is from RNAcentral. Lineage: Eukaryota; Metazoa; Mollusca; Gastropoda; Lottiidae.